This 85-nucleotide transfer RNA is filed under the name Bacteroidota bacterium. RNAcentral's name for it is "Bacteroidetes bacterium (activated sludge metagenome) tRNA-Ser". It matches the Rfam family "tRNA". From Rfam's summary of the family: Transfer RNA (tRNA) molecules are approximately 80 nucleotides in length. Their secondary structure includes four short double-helical elements and three loops (D, anti-codon, and T loops). Further hydrogen bonds mediate the characteristic L-shaped molecular structure. tRNAs have two regions of fundamental functional importance: the anti-codon, which is responsible for specific mRNA codon recognition, and the 3' end, to which the tRNAs corresponding amino acid is attached (by aminoacyl-tRNA synthetases). tRNAs cope with the degeneracy of the genetic code in two manners: having more than one tRNA (with a specific anti-codon) for a particular amino acid; and 'wobble' base-pairing, i.e. permitting non-standard base-pairing at the 3rd anti-codon position. Lineage: Bacteria; Pseudomonadati; Bacteroidota. The record is from RNAcentral.
GGUAGGUUGCCAGAACUGGUAAUGGCCCCGUCUUGAAAACGGAGAGCACGGAUACGUGAUGAGGGUUCGAGUCCUUCACCUACCG